AAUGUAUGUAGCACCAGAGA
RNAcentral lists this non-coding RNA (20 nucleotides) under Rattus norvegicus (Norway rat). The record is from RNAcentral. Lineage: Eukaryota; Metazoa; Chordata; Mammalia; Rodentia; Muridae.